Vicia villosa (hairy vetch) is the source of this 1148-nucleotide long non-coding RNA. RefSeq lists it as uncharacterized. The transcript has 4 exons. NCBI's taxonomy places the organism in Eukaryota, Viridiplantae, Streptophyta, Magnoliopsida, Fabales, Fabaceae. The record is from RefSeq and is a predicted model, not a curated record.
AUAAAAUAGAAAGAGGGAUUAGGGUUGUACACUGCGACGCAUCAGAUUAUCCUUCCCCUUUCAAACUCAGCCGCGGCGAAAAUCUGUUCUUCUCCGAUCAAGAUCUCGGAUCACCGCCGUGAGAACGGAACUACUUCGUCCCUCAUCUCCCUCUGUCCGCUCGUCUCUUUCCUUCACGAAUAGACAAGUGGCGCCGUGAAGCUCUCCCUCUUUCCACCAGUAACAGCGGUGCAACGGCUCCGGUGGGAUCCUUCCUUCGCCGCUGUGACCAAUAAAACGUGAUGAAGAUGAUACAGAGCGUCUUGGAGCUCGUUGAAGAUUGAUGGAGUUUCGGUUGGAGAUUGCGUUGAAAGUCGAUGAAGAGUUUGAAUCGUGAAAAAAGAAGUGUAUGAUGGUUCUGAAUUCAGAUAGUGAGAGGAUUGAAGAAUGAAUGAUGGAGAAGUUUGAAUUGAAGAUGAUGAAGGAACUUGAAGAUUGAAGGUGGAAUUGGAAGAAGAUGGAGAAAGGUGAAGAUGAAUGAAGAAUCGUGGGAUUGGUGAAAAUGGUGGAGAGGAAGAAUGUGAAGGGAGCUGAAUGAAUGAAGGCUUGGAUUUAUAGGAGUACCCAAGGGCUUGUACAGGUUUUCUUGGUCACACUUUUUUCUUUUUGAGCUGAUACAUGGCUGAGCAGAAUUAGAACUAAAGAUUGGAUUGUCUGUCAUUGAUUGCUGAAUGUAUAUGGACUGUGUCUGUUUUGGUAGCUGACUGUUUGAACAAGUGGUUAGAUAUGGAGAUGAUCAAGUUUAUUUUGUGAAAAAUCUGCAGGGCUGAGCAAGGUUAUGGAUGCAGGGCUGGAAUUCGCAGUAGGUUGUCUCUUGUGCUUACACGGAUCGAAACCACACAAAGACAUGAGGGUAUGGGCCAUGGAAGCUUGAAGAAGUAUUAGCAAUAUGGAAAUGUUCAAGCAUAUGCUUAAGAUCUUUUUCAUGACUUCUCCUUUAGUUUUCUGUUGCAUUUCUCUUUGUGUAAUUUGUAAUUUUGUAAAGGACUUUGAAUGAUAAGCCUAAUUUGAGACCAAAUUGAAUGAUGUUGAGCUCGAAUUUUGAACGAGGAUGUAAAUUGUAAUGGGCAAAACAUUUUCAAAUAAAGUUUGAAUCUCCUUUUUUCCAA